UACGGAGGGUGCGAGCGUUGUCCGGAUUUAUUGGGUUUAAAGGGUGCGUAGGCGGCCUUAUAAGUCCGGGGUGAAAGCCCGCUGCUCAACACCAGAACUGCCCUGGAUACUGUGAGGCUUGAGUACAGACGAGGUUGGUGGAAUGGCCCGAGUAGCGGUGAAAUGCAUAGAUACGGGCAAGAACCCCGAUUGCGAAGGCAGCUGACUAGGCUGUUACUGACGCUGAGGUACGAAAGCGUGGGGAGCGAACAGG
RNAcentral lists this ribosomal RNA (253 nucleotides) under uncultured bacterium. Its description in RNAcentral is "partial 16S ribosomal RNA". It matches the Rfam family "Bacterial small subunit ribosomal RNA", at positions 524 to 776 of the family's 1533-position model. The record is from RNAcentral.